UACGAAGGGGGCAAGCGUUGUUCGGAUUUACUGGGUGUAAAGGGUGCGUAGGCGGCCCGUUAAGUCAGCGGUGAAAUCCCACGGCUCAACCGUGGAACUGCCGUUGAUACUGGCGGGCUUGAGUUCGGUCGAGGCGGGCGGAACUGGCGGUGUAGCGGUGAAAUGCAUAGAUACCGCCAAGAACCCCGAUUGCGUAGGCAGCUCGCUGGGCCGAAACUGACGCUGAGGCACGAAAGCGUGGGGAGCAAACAGG
This 253-nucleotide unclassified non-coding RNA is filed under the name uncultured Hymenobacteraceae bacterium. RNAcentral describes it as "contains 16S-23S intergenic spacer region". It matches the Rfam family "Bacterial small subunit ribosomal RNA", at positions 524 to 776 of the family's 1533-position model. The record is from RNAcentral. Lineage: Bacteria; Pseudomonadati; Bacteroidota; Cytophagia; Cytophagales; Hymenobacteraceae.